GCGAGAAAUUAGCCCCGCCUUCUCUAGUCGCUACCCCAGCUGCGCUAGGAAGUAGAUGCGGAAAGGUCUGUUGUAGGGUUAUAGAGCCUCAUCCAUUCCUUUCCUGAAUCCAUGCAGUCUAAAGAUACAAUGACACAAUGAUUCCUCUGGCCCAGGUUCCCAGCGACACAUCUGUAAACAUUUAAUACGUUUGCUACGUGAGCUUUAUUAUGUUUUGUUUCUUUCCCUUGUUUACUAUCUAUCGCAUGUUGGGUAGAGGUCCAGGCUAGCUACGGUGACAAUAGCACCCAGAGGGCAGAAACUAGAUUUGUGUGAGAAUUUCUUGUCUUCGCAUCUAGCAAAAUCUAAUUGUAGUCAAGGUAUAUUUCCCACCUACCCCUCCACCCGCUCCAGUAAAUGAGCUCAACACUAUGCCAUGAGGCUCUUGAAACAUAGAUGUGAAAAGGACUUGAGAGAUUCACUAGAUAACCUAGAUUCCAAAGGAAGCAAAGUCCCACAAGAAUUUAAAUGGCUUGGUUAUGGAAGUAGUAACAGAAGCUGGUUUUGAACCCAGGUCAAAAACUCCAAAACUAGUGCUUUUUCCAGCAAGGGGGGGGAAAGGGUAAGAAUGGGAGAAGGCAAGUUAUAUGUAAUUCUGAGUUAAGAGAAAAAUGUGGAAUAAUAAUAUACCUUAAAGUUAUAAAUGUUUGUUUGGCCAGAGCAUUAGCAGUCCUGUACUACUAAUCAAACUAUCAAUGUUUGAAGCCUUGUGAUCCUCUGGAUCCUUUCCUCCAGACUACCGUAAUACAAGCACAGAAUAAUAAAAGCUGGGGCAGCUACUCUGUUUAGUGGAUAGAGAGCCAGACCUGGAGACCAAAGAUUUGGGAUUCAAAAAUGACCUCAGAUACUUCCUACUUUUAUCACUUAGCCUCAAUUGCCUAGCCCUUACCACUCCUCUGCCUCAAAACCAAUAGUUUCUGUCAGAAGGUAAAGGUUUUUUGUUUCUUUUAAGAAUUAUUAAAAUUCCCAUUUUCUGUUAAGUUUACUGUCAACAAAGCACAUUCUUCACAACAAUCUUGUGAAUAGAUAGGAUCAAUGUUUCUUCAAAGCUCCAUGUUUUGAUAUGAAUGUUUCCUCUGCCAAUACAAAUUAGGAAUCCCUUUACAACUUAGAAGCCCCACUUAUAGCAUUGAAGUCUCUGAAAAAAAAAAUGUAGUACCCUGUAGGCAACCUAAUGAUCAGCCUUCAGACAACAGAUAUACCAUCUAUUACUAGGCCCAAAUUUGGAGCCAUUCCAGCUUGGUAUAAUCUGCCAGAACUUGGAUUCCACUUGUAGAGACUUCAAGAAUCCAGAGACACCACCAUGUCACAAUGAGGCAUCAGAAUAGAAUUUUUAAAUGGAAGUACACAAGUAUAUAUCAAGAGAGCAUAGGAUUUGGAGCCAGAGGACUUCUCUUAAGCCAGGUAUCUUGGUCGUGUCUUCAGCAAGGGUUCCACCAGUGCAGCCUCCUCCAGGAAAGGAAGGCCUCUUCAGAACCAAUCUCUCCAGAAACCAGGAAAAAAAGGCCGCCUACUCACCCAGUAAAAGAGUCUCCUCCUUCAGUCCAACUCACUGAAGUAAAAUCUCCAAAGAUGAACUCCAAAGGAGAAGUAGUUCAAAUGAGAAGUCAGAAGAAGUUCCCUGGACUGUGGAGUGGGGGAGAGAAUCUGGAACAGAAAAUAAAGUAAAAUUGAUUUUUUUUUAAAAAGCAAGUUAUGCAGAGCCAGAACUGGUUGAAAUUCCAAACUUACAAAUAUGGAUAUUAAAUGGUUUGAUAUCAAGUUGGAAGAUUUGUAGGAUUCUGUGCUAUUUUACUAGUCACUACAGGCUGCUAGGUGGCUCAAUGGGUAGAGGCCUGGGCAUGGAGUCAGGAAGAUCUAAGUUCAAAUACAUUCUCAGGCACUGUGUGACCCUGGGCAACCUUUGUCUGCCUCAAUCUUCUCAGUUCUGUAAACCUUAAAAUUUCUUAGGCUUGUGAAUGUUGGAAAUUUCCCCAUUUCCAACAUUAGGUAGGGAGGGUCCUUCUCCUCCCUACCUGAGAUUACUUUAGGACAGAAACCUUUUGCUGAAAAAUGGAGAGGGCUUUGACCUAUGCUUAAGCAUGGAGCGGGAGGUUCUUUGAGUCAUGAUUGAUUUUAGAAUUGAUACAAUGGAAAUGCUUGGAGUGACAGAGCCAGGUCUUGGAGAAUACAAUUUCCACUGAGCUACCCAGCUGUCCCUUAAGAUUAAAGGGAAGAAAAAGAAAAAUUGCUGAUUCCAAUUUAACUUAAGGAGAAAAGAGAAGAGAGAAAAAGUUUUUUAUACUCACGUGUUCUAGCAGCUGUGUCUUUAAGCCAAGUUUGUUGUUAAAAGGAACUAAGUGGUGAGAUGGUAGAGUAAAAAGGCAAGGAAUUUCAGAAGUUUAUUGAGAGAAUUCUUUAGAGUCCCUUCGUGGUCGCCACAAAUGUGGGAAAGAAAUCACUUAAAAGACUGAUAAAUAUUAAUUUAAGGUCGCCAAGGAAUUCAGCUAUGUAAUUUCUAAAUGAAAACUCAAGUCAGCAGUCAACUUUUUAUGGAGUUUAAUUACAAACAGGAGGAAGAAAGGUAUGAGAGAGAGAGAGAGAGAGAGAGAGAGAGAGAGAGAGAGAGAGAGAGAGAGAAAGGGGAGAGAAGGGAAUAGGGCUUAAAUACCUCCUCUGUUUAGGUUGGGCCAAAAGGCCCAAGCCCUUAGAUAGCUGAGGCAAAGAAAGGAGAUCAGUCCCUAUCACUCACGUGACCAAAAUGGAGAAACAGUUUCAGGGGGCCUCCACCUCCAGCUUCCUUCAGAGCCAGCCUUCUCAGAGCACCACCUCUCAGAGGAAAACCUCUCCAACCACCUCUAGUCCUCAGACCCUGCUAUCUUUAAGGAAACCAUCCAGGUUCCCUCCCCUCAGUUCUCACAUCUACCAAUCACUGUCCAUGUGUUCCCUGUGCCAAUGGUGGCUCUACCUUAACCCAGGACCACCCAGAGGUCUGUGGCUUUGCACAUGUCUGUUGAAGGUCAUAUUCUCAAAUAAUUAAAUCUUGAUCUAUGCUGCAGCCCUUCCUAAAUCCUGUUAGGACUGAGUAGGGUGGAAAUUGUAUUCUCCAAGACCUGGCUCUGUCACUCCAAGCAUCUCCAUUGUAUCAAUUCUAAAAUCAAUCAUGACUCAAAGAACCUCCUGCUCCAUGCUUAAGCAUAGGUCAAAGCCCUUUCCAUUGUUCAGCAAAAGGUUUAUGUCCUAAAGUAAUCUCAGGUAGGGAGGAGAAGGACCCUCCCUACCUAAUGUUGGAAAUCAGGUAAAGCCCCUGAUGUUGUCCAGUCUACUUCCCUGCCUCCUGCAUCCCAGUGUAGACUACAUGACUCUGAGUUUGAACUCUAUCACAGAAACAAGGACUGUGUAAGGGAAAUCAUUGGGUGAAUUGAGUCACAAGUAUAGACUAACAGCAGGAAAAAUGUAGCAGUAGAGUCAAGAGGUCAAGAGACAGGGGGGAACAGGGUGGUCUUACCUGCAGUACCCACUGGACUGCCCUCCUGGGGGACACAGGCAAAAUAGGAAGCCAUAGUUGGCUCCCAAGACAUGACAUAUGAGUUAGUGGAUGGAGACAAGGUUUGAUAAACUGAAGCAAGAGUGGAUUUCUCUCUCUUUGCUUCUGGGUUUGGUGCUGACUGGACUUCCCGUGUAGUAGGGGGCCCUCAUAGUAUCCAUAAUAGUAGUAGUCUUUUGGUAACCGAGGAUGACGAUUGUCUUUGUGUGCUUUCAUCUGUGAUGUAGAUGAGUGUGCACAAAGACACUUGUGCAUGAAGGAGAUUUAAGUGGAAAAGUCGAUGCACAGAGACAAUCCCACUCUCGACGUUGGAAGCCUGGGUCCAGUGGCACGAAAAGUUGUUACACCUGGAGACUUCCUCAGCUGCAUUGGAUGGCCAUGUUGUCUUUUGUGCUCCAACACGCCCUAAGCACUCCACAGUGCUUUGCUGCAUUGCCCUCUCAGCCGUUGAACCUUCUUAUUGGUUUCUUCCAUCUGUUCCGCCGAAGCAGUCUUCACAUGCUAGAUUGUAUCCAGUUUGAGAUUGUUCUGAUCUGGGCCUCCUUUACUCUGCAUAGCCCUCUAGGAUACUGAAACAAAAUAAAACACUUUGAGAUCAUUCCAUAGACAAGAAAAAAAGAUUCCAUUAACCAGAACUCAAGACUUGGCAUUUAGGACACCUCCAGCUGAUUCAUCCGAGUGGAGAUCCAGUUGCCUAAAUUGCCUGAGUUGCCCACUGUUUUCUAUCAGGUAUCAGAGGACACCUGGAGCCCUCCUGGCAGCUUUGUAGUCAAGCUAUCCGGAAGUGACAUUAAUAACAUGAGUUUUUAGUACUUUGAGUCAACUAAUUCAAAGAUGGCUUCAGUAUGUUUUUAGGAAAAACUAGCCAAAUUUUCAUGAAAGAGUCAGGAUAGUACUCCUACCAUUGACUUCAAGAACAAAGGGUUUCACAUUCUUCUUGCCUGUGCAAGAAUUGGUAACUACUCUUUUGUUUCCUUGUGUCAUUCACAUCUUUUUCUUUUUGCACAUUUCAACUUCCUUUAAGCAAGUUUUAGAGUACACUAUUUUGCAUCUGGCUUUAUUAUGACUGAACUAGUGAAUCUGAUUCCAGAACCUCAUUGUUUUUGAUUCCUUCUUAUUAUUUAAUGGUGUAUGGAGUUGAUGAAAUUGUUUAAGACUCAGUUUUAAGAGUUAUUAACCCAAAAUAUUGGGGAGGGGGGAUGGCUUGAUUGACAAUGAAUUUGGUUUGAGGUUUCAUACUAAGAUGUCAGUUUCCUAAAAUGAUAUGUUUGCUUUCUUAAUUUGCUUUUUAUUUCAGAAACAUGCUGAUUAGAAAGCAGAAUCUGUUUAUAUAGUAGACUUUUUGAAGCUCAUGUUAUUUUAAAAAAUGUAUUGCUAAUGAUCCAACCAUUCUGGAGGGCAAUUUGGAACUAUGCCCAAAGGGCACUAAAAGCCUUUUGACCCAGCUAUAACACUGUUGGGUUUAUGCUCCAAAGAGAUCAUAAGGAAAAAGACUUGUACAAAAAUAUUUAUAGCCAUGUUCUUUGUGGUGGCAAAAAAUUGGAAAAUGAGGGGAUGCCCUUCAAUUGGGGAAUGACUGAACAAACUGUGGUAUAUGUUGGUGAUGGAAUACUAUUGUGCUCAAAGGAACAAUAAAGUGGAGGAAUUCCAUGGGAACUGGAAUGACCUCCAGGAAUUGAUGCCAGAGUGAAAGGAGCAGAACCAGGAGAACACUGUCCACAGAGACUGAUACACUAUGGUACAAUCAAAUGUAAUGGACUUCUCCAUUAGUGGCAAUGCAGUGAUUCAAACAACUUGGAGCAAUCUACGAGAAAGAACACUAUCCACAUUCAGAGGAAAAACUGUGGGAGCAGAAACACUGAAGAAAACAACUGCUUGAUUACAUGGGUGGAGGGGGAUAUGACUGGGGAUAUAGACUCUAAAUGAUCAUCCUAGUGCAAACAUCAACAACAUGGAAAUAGGUUCUGAUCAAGGACACAUGUAAUACCCAGUGGAAUUGCACGUCAGCUACAGGAAGGGGUGGGGGGAGGGAAGGAAGGGAAAGAAUAUAAUUCUUGUAACCAAGGAAUAAUGUUCUAAAUUGACUAAAUAAAAUUUAAAAAAAUGUAUUGCUGAUAACUCACAUUUAUAUAAUGUUUUAAGGUUUGUAAAACAUUUUAUGUAAAUUAUCUCAUUUGAUAUUUAUG
Molecule: long non-coding RNA, 5751 nt
Organism: Monodelphis domestica (gray short-tailed opossum)
Lineage: Eukaryota; Metazoa; Chordata; Mammalia; Didelphimorphia; Didelphidae
Source: RefSeq, a predicted model, not a curated record